This 1534-nucleotide long non-coding RNA is filed under the name Pelobates cultripes (western spadefoot toad). The record is from RNAcentral. Lineage: Eukaryota; Metazoa; Chordata; Amphibia; Anura; Pelobatidae.
GCUCUUCGUUCUGUGUAACAGCACAACUUGCAUGAGCAGAUCAACCAUCACUGAAAAUGGGAAAGGUAAGAUUAUCUGAAUAUUGUAAAUAUUGGCAACACAAGAAAUUUUGAAAACAAUAAACAGAUUUUUUAAAUGAACAAAAACAAAUUAAAAUGUUAAAUGCUUACACUGAAUGCCAGCAAACUUUAACUGCUGAACAAUAUACUGUGGUAAAUUUAUCUAGUCCAGAAACAUGCCAACAAAAUAUCUUUCGUAAACCAGUUUUGGACAUUUGCCGCCUCCUCAAAUAAGAAUUAAUCAGAACACAUGCAUCACAUGUUUACUUUUUUCAGACUCAAGAUUAAGAUUUUUUUCUGUCUUUGAAAGUACUUUGUAGUGAAUGCCACUAUUCACCAUAAUAAAUUGCUAUAAUUAUGUGAAAGUGAAUGCAAAUUCACCAAUCGAAAACGCAAAAUGUACCAAAAACAUAUAUUCCAAUUCUUCCCUAAACUUAUAUGUUUAACUCCUACACUAUAUUAUUUGAACAGGAUAAUAGUAGAUGUUUUUAGGAAUCUGUAGCAUGAAGUAAUCAAACCAGAAACUAUUUAAAUGAAAUUAUUAACCACUAAAACAAUAAUAAACAAAAAAAAUCUAAAAUGUUCAAAUGCACGGUUCUUUCACAGAUUGUCUUCUACGAGGAUCGUAACUUCCAGGGCCGCUCUUAUGAGUGCACCUCUGAGUGUCCAGAUAUGUCCUCAUAUUUUCAGUGCUGUAAUUCCAUCCGAGUGGAAAGUGGAAACUGGAUUCUGUAUGAGCACCCCAACUAUAGAGGAAACCAGUAUUACCUCAGCAGGGGAGAAUAUCCUAAUUUCCAGCAAUGGAUGGGUUUCAAUGACUCCAUCAGAUCUUGUCGUAUUAGCCCACAGGUAAAGAUAUUUACCAAAAUAGUUAAGAACCUUACAUAAAUAUGAUGCAGUACAAAAAAACAUUAUUUUCCAAUUAUCAAUUAUUAUAGGUUUACCUUUGCAAAUAUGACCUUUUUUGACUAUUAUUCAUUAUUUUAUGGAAUAUAUCUUCAAUUCACAAUUCCAUUGUCAGGUAACAGGUGGGUUAACAUGGAUAAAAAAAAAAAUAUAUAUAUAUAUAUAUAUAUAUAUAUAUAUUCCCGUAUAGAUUUUUGAUGUUCAUAAAUAUUUUUUUCUUCGUAAAGCACCAUGGAUCAUUCAGAGUAAAGGUCUAUGAGAGGGAGGAUUUCCGAGGUCAGAUGAUGGAGUUCACUGAAGAUUGUGCUAAUGUCAAUGAGAGAUUCCGUAACCAUGACAUCCACUCCUGCCAGGUGAUUGAUGGCUACUGGAUGUUCUAUGAGGAACCAAAUUACAAAGGACGCCAGUAUUACCUGAGACCUGGAGAGUACAAAAGAUAUACUGACUGGGGUGCCAUGAGCCCAAGAAUUGGCUCAUUCAGGAGACUUCACCAUUUCUAAUAAGUUGUAUUUAUUACUAAAUCAGCAUGUCAUUAAGAAUAUAAUAAAAGCUUCAAAAAUGAUCUUUAA